RNAcentral lists this ribosomal RNA (497 nucleotides) under uncultured bacterium. Its description in RNAcentral is "partial 16S ribosomal RNA". It matches the Rfam family "Bacterial small subunit ribosomal RNA", at positions 28 to 507 of the family's 1533-position model. The record is from RNAcentral.
GAUGAACGCUGGCGGCGUGCCUAAUACAUGCAAGUCGAGCGAACGGACGAGAAGCUUGCUUUUCUGAUGUUAGCGGCGGACGGGUGAGUAACACGUGGAUAACCUACCUAUAAGACUGGGAUAACUUCGGGAAACCGGAGCUAAUACCGGAUAAUAUUUUGAACCGCAUGGUUCAAAAGUGAAAGACGGUCUUGCUGUCACUUAUAGAUGGAUCCGCGCUGCAUUAGCUAGUUGGUAAGGUAACGGCUUACCAAGGCAACGAUGCAUAGCCGACCUGAGAGGGUGAUCGGCCACACUGGAACUGAGACACGGUCCAGACUCCUACGGGAGGCAGCAGUAGGGAAUCUUCCGCAAUGGGUGAAAGCCUGACGGAGCAACGCCGCGUGAGUGAUGAAGGUCUUCGGAUCGUAAAACUCUGUUAUUAGGGAAGAACAUAUGUGUAAGUAACUGUGCACAUCUUGACGGUACCUAAUCAGAAAGCCACGGCUAACUACGUG